GACGAACGCUGGCGGCGUGCUUAACACAUGACAAGUCGAACGAGAGGACAAGAGAAGCUUGCUUCUUUUGGAAUCGAGUGGCAAACGGGUGAGUAACACGUAAACAACCUGCCUUCAGGAUGGGGACAACAGACGGAAACGACUGCUAAUACCGAAUACGCUUGGGAGACCGCAUGAUCUUCCAAGGAAAGGGUGGCCUCUACUUGUAAGCUAUCGCCUGAAGAGGGGUUUNCGUCUGAUUAGGCGAGUUGGUGACGGUAACGGCCCACCAAACCUACGAUCAGUAGCCGGUCUGAGAGGAUGAACGGCCACUACUGGAACUGAGACACGGUCCAGACUCCUACGGAGGCAGCAGUGGGGAAUCUUCCGCAAUGGGCGAAACGCCGUGACCGGAGCAACGCCGCGUGAGUGAUGACGGCC
This 420-nucleotide ribosomal RNA is filed under the name uncultured bacterium. Its description in RNAcentral is "bacterial SSU rRNA". It matches the Rfam family "Bacterial small subunit ribosomal RNA", at positions 28 to 416 of the family's 1533-position model. The record is from RNAcentral.